Molecule: ribosomal RNA, 371 nt
Filed under: uncultured bacterium
Lineage: Bacteria
Description: bacterial SSU rRNA
Rfam family: Bacterial small subunit ribosomal RNA
Source: RNAcentral
GUAGGGAGCGAGCGUUGUCCGAAUUUACUGGGCGUAAAGCGCGCGUAGGCGGGCUUUUAAGUUGGGGGUGAAAUCCCGAGGCUCAACCUCGGAACUGCCCCCAAAACUGGGAGCCUUGAGGUAUGGAGAGGGAAGUGGAAUUCCUGGUGUAGCGGUGAAAUGCGUAGAUAUCAGGAGGAACACCUGUGGCGAAGGCGGCUUCCUGGCCAUAUCCUGACGCUGAGGUGCGAAAGCUAGGGGAGCGAACGGGAUUAGAUACCCUGGUAGUCCACGCAGUAAACGGUGAACACUAGGUGUAGCGGGUAUUGACCCCUGCUGUGCCGAAGCUAACGCAUUAAGUGUUCCGCCUGGGAAGUACGGCCGCAAGGCUA